AAUCAAUAAAAGGUUGUUUGUGCUUAACCAAGUACGACCACCAGAGGGCAGUGUUUCUAGUGUCUUUAUCUACACUGACUGAGGACUGAGGAGUUUCAUCUGGGUGUAGACAUGACACGGUUGGCAUCGAAACUAAACACCAACAACUGUGGGAAUCAUUCAUUAGAUGAAGACGGCAGGAGGAAUGAAGGAAACAAUUAAAUGAAUCCAUCUUAGAUACGUCUGUAAAUAAACAGAUGUAGGGAAUCAGAGUAUUGUUACUCCUCUCCAGCAAGGUGUGUGUCCACAAGGGAGCGAAGCGUCACCCUCAGGGCUCAGUGAACACCCCCCCCCCCUAUUUUUCGAAACCCAGGUACCACCAGCCAGAAGAAGCCUCAGGUUAUAACUUACUUCUGGGUCUGUGUCCUGAUUUGAUCUGAGUUGUUCAUGACAGCGUGGAUACGCUUCAAGGUUGUUUUUUUUGGUUGUUGUCUUUAAUGUCUCCUAACUCGGAAAAGUGUUCCAAGUGUUUCCUUGGCUUCUUUUUCUCCAGUUGUAUUUUGAUACUUUGAGAGUCCCAGGAUUUCACCACAGAUGAUACAAAGUACAGCAUUACUUUAUACCCUUGAAGGCUUACCGCGUUCACACCAAAAGCUUUAGUUUCACUUUUCACAUAAACGAUGUGACGCAGUUAGCUGUUGCUCAAAGCUCUUCCGUUGAUCCGUCUGCACCGAGGAGCCCAGCAGCUCAGUCUUUACUCCCUCUCUGAUUUUGGUAUCCAGUCUACUAUGGAUGAGGAGAGAGAGGAGAGGGGUCCUACCUCUAAAGGAACUCUGUCUGAGGAACAUGUCCGCCAGAGCAAAGCUAAGCGAAGACUCCAGCCGGAGAGAGCAGUCUCCCCUGGACCCAGCUGUGUCUCCAUGAAGAGUGACUGGUCUAUGCAACAUCCUCCUGACCUUAGAGAUGGAAAUCAGCAAGUAGCUUCUAAGAAAAGGGGAGGAUUUAUAAAACAAAUAAUCGCCUUAAACAACAUCCACAAAUCUUAACUUAAUGUUUGCUUUUCUAGAAGGAGGCAGGAGAGAGCAGACUCCCCUGGACCCAGCUGUGUCUCCAUGAAGAGUGACUGGUCUAUGCAACAUCCUCCUGACCUUAAAGAUGGAAAUCAGCAAGUAGCUUCUAAGAAAAGGGGAGGAUUUAUAAAACAAAUAAUCGCAUUAAAAAAACAUCCACAUAUCUUAACUUGAUGUUUGGUUUUCUAGAAGGAGGCAGGAGAGAGCAGACUCCCCUGGACCCAGCUGUGUCUCCAUGAAGAGUGACUGGUCUAUGGGUCCUCACUUUAAAGAUGCACGCCACUCCAGAGAGGAAGGCCCUGCGCAGCAGGAGAGAGUAGACUCCCCUGGACCCAGCUGUGUCUCCAUGGAGGGUUACAGCUCUAUGGAAUAUCCACCUCACCUUAAAGAUGGAAAUCAGUCUAUUGAGAAGCGAAGGGUCCAGCAGGACAGAGCAGACUCCCCUGGACCCAGCUGUGUCUCCGUGAAGAGUGA
This is a long non-coding RNA of Gadus morhua (Atlantic cod), 1523 nucleotides long. RefSeq lists it as uncharacterized. The record is from RefSeq and is a predicted model, not a curated record. Lineage: Eukaryota; Metazoa; Chordata; Actinopteri; Gadiformes; Gadidae. The transcript has 5 exons.